This 398-nucleotide ribosomal RNA is filed under the name uncultured bacterium. RNAcentral's name for it is "bacterial SSU rRNA". It matches the Rfam family "Bacterial small subunit ribosomal RNA", at positions 30 to 430 of the family's 1533-position model. The record is from RNAcentral.
AUUGAACGCUGGCGGCAGGCCUAACACAUGCAAGUCGAGCGGAUGAAAGGGGCUUGCUCCUGGAUUCAGCGGCGGACGGGUGAGUAAUGCGCAGGAAUCUACCUAGUAGUGGGGGAUAACGUUUCGAAAGGAACGCUAAUACCGCAUACGUUCUGAGGAAGAAAGCAGGGGAUCGUAAGACCUUGCGCUAUUAGAUGAGCUUGCGUCCGAUUAGCUAGUUGGUGGGGUAAAGGCCUACCAAGGCGGCGAUCGGUAACUGGUCUGAGAGGAUGAUCAGUCACACUGGAACUGAGACACGGUCCAGACUCCUACGGGAGGCAGCAGUGGGGAAUAUUGGACAAUGGGGGCAACCCUGAUCCAGCCAUGCCGCGUGUGUGAAGAAGGCCUCGGUUGUAAGU